Molecule: long non-coding RNA, 671 nt
Filed under: Androctonus crassicauda
Lineage: Eukaryota; Metazoa; Arthropoda; Arachnida; Scorpiones; Buthidae
Source: RNAcentral
UAAUAUUCCUAAAUUCCGUUCCUUUUGCAAAAUACUGUACAUCAACUGUUUUCAUUUUCUUAAGAUUUUCUUCUGUUUCAUGCAAAAGUUAUAUUUUCAAGGAUUCUGAUAAGUGAUGCUAAGAUGGCAGCAUUGUCACGAAUUUCAAAUCGUGACAUUAUUUUGAAUAAGAUAAGGAGAUCAUCGCAACACAAGAAUGGAAAUUUUUACAUUAUCCUCGAAUCAGACAACAAUGUAAAAACAAUACUGCAUAUCAAGACAAUGUACAACCAGUGCGGAUCUAACUUUCAAGAGUGGAAAUUUUUGCAUUAUCCUCAAAUCAGACAACAAUGCAAAAACGUACUGCAUAUCGAGACAAUGUACAACCAGGGCGGAUCUAACUUUCAAGAGUGGAAAUUUUUGCAUUAUCCUCAAAUUAGACAAUAAUGCCAAACGUACUGCAUAUUGAGACAAUGUACAACCCGGGCCCUGGGCUUGAGGUACUAUUUUACACUUUAUGUUCUAUCGCGUCUUUAACAAUUUCAUACUAUGCAUUGUGCCUCGAAUCCCCUAACAGUUGAUGGGCCUGGGCUCAAGCUCUAUUAACUUUUAUAUACAUCCUCUACUGUGUAACGAAAAUAAUACAUAGCAUAAACAUAUAGUGAGUUUUGGGAAACGAUAAAGAAAAUGAU